This 301-nucleotide ribosomal RNA is filed under the name uncultured bacterium. Its description in RNAcentral is "bacterial SSU rRNA". It matches the Rfam family "Bacterial small subunit ribosomal RNA", at positions 30 to 334 of the family's 1533-position model. The record is from RNAcentral.
AUUGAACGCUGGCGGCAGGCCUAACACAUGCAAGUCGAGCGAGAAAGCACUUCGGUGUGAGUACAGCGGCGGACGGGUGAGUAACGCGUAGGAAUCUACCCAGUAGUGGGGGACAACAUGGUGAAAACCAUGCUAAUACCGCAUACGCCCUAUGGGGGAAAGCGGGGGGCCUUCGGGCCUCGCGCUAUUGGAUGAGCCUGCGUCGGAUUAGCUUGUUGGUGAGGUAAAGGCUCACCAAGGCGACGAUCCGUAGCUGGUCUGAGAGGAUGAUCAGCCACACUGGAACUGAGACACGGUCCAG